GUAAAGCGUGUACAUUUUCAUUUUUUUUCCAAAAAGCAAACAUUAAUUGAGUUAAGGACCCAUGCGAUGUCAAAUAAAACUUCUAACAAUAAAUAAUGACCAGUAAGAUACCCUUAUCACAUGGCAUAUUGAUCUAAUGUGUUAAAAAGGCUGCACUGAUUAAUCAAUCAUCAUCGUACUCAUCAUGUGCAUAGUAUUACACCUAUUGCUCGAUGAGUAAAUUGGAGCACAGGUAAAUUGAAUACAUUCCCCAUGUUCUUAUAUAUUGUUAGAGGAAGAAUCAGAGAUAAAUCCCAGGCGUUCUUACUUCAGUGUCCCCUUUUAAACUACAAAACAUUUCUUCUCCAUUUAGGCAGUCUGAGUGUGACAGUUAUGGCUCCUAGAUUCAUGUGCUAACAGCAAAGAAGGAACUUUUUCCUCAUAGAUAAAGUCUCUUUGGUCCUGCCUGUCUCUGGAUCCAUGAGAGGAAGACUCUGAAACUGAAAAUGAUGAAGGUUUGCAGUACAACGAAGACCCCUUAUAAAUAUUACAGACAAAACAAAUAAAUGUUUCAAUAAGUAUAAA
Pelodiscus sinensis (Chinese soft-shelled turtle) is the source of this 564-nucleotide non-coding RNA. Lineage: Eukaryota; Metazoa; Chordata; Testudines; Trionychidae. The record is from RefSeq and is a predicted model, not a curated record.